UUCCUGAUAUCACCGGUGUUUGGAUCUCCUUUGAGAUGGGUGUUUUUAGGGUCUUUGUUGGUCGUAUCCAACUGAGGUUCUGGAAUUGUCUUUUCAGUAGAACAGCCAAGUCUGUAAUUUGUUUACUCAAUCUGUCAAAUUCUUCUCGGGAAACAGCAUUAGACUGGUCAGAAGAAGACAUGAUUGGUUGUAGGCCUGUGGCCUUUUUGGAUUUUGAGCGGGUAACAGGCCCAAUUGCUUCCCUACAAAAGACUUACGUAGUUUAGUCUUAGGGUAAUGUAAAUGUUAUCAUAAC
Molecule: long non-coding RNA, 295 nt
Filed under: Panax ginseng (ginseng)
Lineage: Eukaryota; Viridiplantae; Streptophyta; Magnoliopsida; Apiales; Araliaceae
Description: long non-coding RNA (PGIN_LNC002149)
Source: RNAcentral